AUCGCAUGAUGCAGUGUGAAAAACUCCGGUGGUAUAAGAUGGACCCGCGUUGGAUUAGCUAGUUGGUGAGGUAACGGCCCACCAAGGCGACGAUCCAUAGCCGACCUGAGAGGGUGACCGGCCACAUUGGGACUGAGACACGGCCCAAACUCCUACGGGAGGCAGCAGUGGGGAAUAUUGCACAAUGGGCGAAAGCCUGAUGCAGCGACGCCGCGUGAGCGAAGAAGUAUUUCGGUAUGUAAAGCUCUAUCAGCAGGGAAGAUAAUGACGGUACCUGACUAAGAAGCACCGGCUAAAUACGUGCCAGCAGCCGCGGUAAUACGUAUGGUGCAAGCGUUAUCCGGAUUUACUGGGUGUAAAGGGAGCGCAGGCGGUGCGGCAAGCCUGAUGUGAAAGCCCGGGGCUCAACCCCGGUACUGCAUUGGAAACUGUCGUACUAGAGUGUCGGAGGGGUAAGCGGAAUUCCUAGUGUAGCGGUGAAAUGCGUAGAUAUUAGGAGGAACACCAGUGGCGAAGGCGGCUUACUGGACGAUAACUGACGCUGAGGCUCGAAAGCGUGGGGAGCAAACAGGAUUAGAUACCCUGGUAGUCCACGCCGUA
RNAcentral lists this ribosomal RNA (600 nucleotides) under uncultured bacterium. RNAcentral describes it as "bacterial SSU rRNA". It matches the Rfam family "Bacterial small subunit ribosomal RNA", at positions 185 to 804 of the family's 1533-position model. The record is from RNAcentral.